UAGGGAAUCUUCCGCAAUGGACGAAAGUCUGACGGAGCAACGCCGCGUGAGUGAAGAAGGAUUUCGGUUCGUAAAACUCUGUUGUUAGGGAAGAAUGAUUAUGUAGUAACUAUACAUAAUAGAGACGGUACCUAACCAGAAAGCCACGGCUAACUACGUGCCAGCAGCCGCGGUAAUACGUAGGUGGCAAGCGUUGUCCGGAAUUAUUGGGCGUAAAGCGCGCGCAGGUGGUUUAAUAAGUCUGAUGUGAAAGCCCACGGCUCAACCGUGGAGGGUCAUUGGAAACUGUUAAACUUGAGUGCAGGAGAGAAAAGUGGAAUUCCUAGUGUAGCGGUGAAAUGCGUAGAGAUUAGGAGGAACACCAGUGGCGAAGGCGGCUUUUUGGCCUGUAACUGACACUGAGGCGCGAAAGCGUGGGGAGCAAACAGG
This 429-nucleotide ribosomal RNA is filed under the name uncultured bacterium. Its description in RNAcentral is "bacterial SSU rRNA". It matches the Rfam family "Bacterial small subunit ribosomal RNA", at positions 355 to 776 of the family's 1533-position model. The record is from RNAcentral.